Long non-coding RNA from Herpailurus yagouaroundi (jaguarundi), 903 nucleotides. RefSeq lists it as uncharacterized. The transcript has 4 exons. The record is from RefSeq and is a predicted model, not a curated record. NCBI's taxonomy places the organism in Eukaryota, Metazoa, Chordata, Mammalia, Carnivora, Felidae.
GCGGGACAGGCGGGUUCGCGGCCUGGCGAAAAGACUGCCGGCUCUCCCGCGGCCGGCUGCGCGGGGUGCCGGGAGCAGCAGCCCCCGCCGCGACCGCUGCGAGCUGCUGGCGCCGCGCCGGAGGGAGGGCGGCAGGGUGCGACCGCCGGUGGGCGGAGGCCCGGGCGGCCUAGAGGUGGCUUCUCGGGGCCCGCGGAGGACCGGGGACAGGGAAGGUGAACUGAGGCGGUCGCCCGCUCGAGCCUGCACCUGCCCUGAUCGCCCCUAAACUGUCCGGCCUAGUGGGCUUGGGACUGGGACCAACCUUGAGAUACGGGGAUUAUUAUACCCAUUGUCGUAACGAAGACAUAGUCGCUGGAAGGAUUAACAAAUGACAAAGUCCGUAAGCUUGCCACAGUGCUCCUCUGGAAUUACAAGCUUACUAUGACAAUUCUGUGUUUCAGCACUCUUAAAAGGAAGUCAUUUAUCAAAUUUUGCUGCAGGAAAUGGAUAACGUGUUGGCUCUCUGUAUUAUUCUGGAAUUUCGGAUGGCUUCUCCAGUUUGCUGCUUCCCUGGACACCAAACAUAACAUUCCCUGUUCUAGGACCUGCUUCAAGUUGGUCAUAAGACUGGCAGAAAGUCAAACUAAACUAAAUGAAUAGUUGUUGAAGUUAAUCUCACGUCCUGGAGCUGUGUGUGCUAUGGAAUAGCCUGCUGUUAUUACCAGGCAUAACGCUGAUCAGAAUCACUGCUCUGUGGUCUUGUUCAUCAGAAUUUCAUGUUUGGAAAUUAGAUUUGGGUCUGGUUACUGUAAAAAUAGAUAUUAUGAUAAUGGAAUAUAGCCAUUAAAAUUUCUAUUGCAGAAGAAAUUAGCCAUGUAUUUAAAUGUAGGAGUAUGUUACUAAACAAUAUGUUCAAGAUGA